GUGCCAGCCGCCGCGGUAAGACAGAGGGGGCAAGCGUUGCUCGGAAUCACUGGGCGUAAAGGGCGCGUAGGCGGGAAGCCAAGUCGGUCGUGAAAUCUCCGGGCUCAACCCGGAGGAGUCGGCCGAAACUGGUUUUCUUGAGGGAGGCAGAGGAGUCUGGAAUUCCCGGUGUAGCGGUGAAAUGUGUAGAGAUCGGGAGGAACACCGGUGGCGAAGGCGGGACUCUGGGCCUACCCUGACGCUGAGGCGCGAAGGCGUGGGGAGCAAACGGGAUUAGAUACCCCCGUAGUCC
RNAcentral lists this ribosomal RNA (292 nucleotides) under uncultured bacterium. RNAcentral describes it as "partial 16S ribosomal RNA". It matches the Rfam family "Bacterial small subunit ribosomal RNA", at positions 505 to 796 of the family's 1533-position model. The record is from RNAcentral.